GAUGAACGCUGGCGGUGUGCUUAACACAUGCAAGUCGAACGGUAAGGCCCUUUCGGGGGUACACGAGUGGCGAACGGGUGCGUAACACGUGAGUAACCUGCCCUCAUCUCUGGGAUAACAGUCGGAAACGGUUGCUAAUACUGGAUAUGAGCCUGCAAGGCAUCUUGUGGGUUGGAAAGAUUUUUUGGUUGGGGAUGGACUCGCGGCCUAUCAGCUUGUUGGUGAGGUAGUGGCUCACCAAGGCUUCGACGGGUAGCCGGCCUGAGAGGGCGACCGGCCACAUUGGGACUGAGAUACGGCCCAAACUCCUACGGGAGGCAGCAGUGGGGAAUAUUGCACAAUGGACGGAAGUCUGAUGCAGCAACGCCGCGUGCGGGAUGACGGCCUUCGGGUUGUAAACCGCUUUCAAUUGUGACGAAGCUUUUUGUGACGGUAGCAGUAGAAGAAGCACCGGCUAACUACGUG
This 465-nucleotide ribosomal RNA is filed under the name uncultured bacterium. Its description in RNAcentral is "partial 16S ribosomal RNA". It matches the Rfam family "Bacterial small subunit ribosomal RNA", at positions 28 to 507 of the family's 1533-position model. The record is from RNAcentral.